Ipomoea nil (Japanese morning glory) is the source of this 247-nucleotide long non-coding RNA. RefSeq lists it as uncharacterized. The transcript is spliced from 4 exons. The record is from RefSeq and is a predicted model, not a curated record. Lineage: Eukaryota; Viridiplantae; Streptophyta; Magnoliopsida; Solanales; Convolvulaceae.
CAUCAAUUUGCCUCACUACAACUCUGUAAGUCUUCGAUCUCCAGCUUUGCUUCUCCGUUCUGGUGAAUUCAUUCUUUGUGGAUCUGUAAGCCAUGAGUUUUGUUUUUUGAGGCACAAGAGGAGAUAUAGCAACUGGAUUUCCAGGCUUGAUCCCAGAGCGGCGUACUGGGCUGUGGUUGGUGCUUGGCGUUUUCCUGAUGGCAACAACACUCAGGAUGUAUGCAACCUGUCAGUAACUUCAAGCUCA